CGAUCUACCGCCAUCCGUCACAGCAAUGAAACUUCAUGUCUUGUUGCUGUCAGUGAGUGACGUUGCUAUUUAUGUGCACGAGUUAGCUUUGGUCUUCUAUCAGCCAGAGUAACAGUUGUGAGGGAUAAGUAUGUGUGUCAGGCAAAUGUAUGGGUGAUUACGGGUCAGUCUUUUUUUACAAAGUUUGUAAUAUCGGUGUGAAUUUCUGUAAUGAGAAGUUCCUAUAUCUGAAUCACCCAAGUAGACUUAUUUUCCCAUGUGCCUGCAUUAGGGUAUCUCCAACGGCGAUCACCAAACGGGCGCCAACCAAAUGUCCGCAGGCAUCAUGACCAGGCGCAUCCAAUCGUGUCCUUCAAAUUUGCUCCUAAGUGCUUGUCUGGCUUUCUCUCUUUAUCAAAUUUCCUAGAUCAACAACGAUUCGAUCAUACAUUCAAAUGAUUGCACCCCCCCUCCUUCAUUAAUACUCCCUCUAUAAACCAAUAUAAAA
RNAcentral lists this long non-coding RNA (487 nucleotides) under Hordeum vulgare. RNAcentral describes it as "long non-coding RNA (HVUL_LNC002692)". Lineage: Eukaryota; Viridiplantae; Streptophyta; Magnoliopsida; Poales; Poaceae. The record is from RNAcentral.